Molecule: long non-coding RNA, 342 nt
Filed under: Dromaius novaehollandiae (emu)
Lineage: Eukaryota; Metazoa; Chordata; Aves; Casuariiformes; Dromaiidae
Description: lncRNA (ENSDNVG00000008324.1)
Source: RNAcentral
UCUGCCGCCAAGCAGGAUGCGCAGCGCCGGGCACCGGCAGCCGCUCCGGCAAAGUGCGUAGCCCCGCAGCGCGGAGGGGUCGGGGCACCAGACUUCUCCGUGAGGAUCUGGAUUGCAAAGAGCUUCACCAUACUUGGAGCUUCAUGUGGUGGAUGUGGACUUUAAAACAGUGUGUCUCAACAUUUCAUCCUCAACUAUCUGUUUUUAAUCUGAUUGCACUACAAAAGAAAAGCUGCUAAUGGGAUAAAUGUUGAGACGUUGCAAGAACUGACUUGAAGUACCAAAAGCCAUUACUAUAAAUCAAGAAGAGCUCGAAGCUAAGUCUGUAUCCGAUUAGUCAGU